Molecule: ribosomal RNA, 497 nt
Filed under: uncultured bacterium
Lineage: Bacteria
Description: partial 16S ribosomal RNA
Rfam family: Bacterial small subunit ribosomal RNA
Source: RNAcentral
GAUGAACGCUGGCGGCGUGCCUAAUACAUGCAAGGCGAGCGAACAGACGAGGAGCUUGCUCCUCUGACGUUAGCGGCGGACGGGUGAGUAACACGUGGAUAACCUACCUAUAAGACUGGGAUAACUUCGGGAAACCUGAGCUAAUACCGGAUAAUAUAUUGAACCGCAUGGUUCAAUAGUUAAAUACGGUUUUGCUGUCACUUAUAGAUGGAUCCGCGCCGCAUUAUCUAGUUGGUAAGGUAACGGCUUACCAAGGCAACGAUGCGUAUCCGACCUGAGAGGGUGAUCGGCCACACGGGAACUGAGACACGGUCAAGACGCCUACGGGAGGCAGCAGUAGGGAAUCUGCCGCAAUGGGCGAAAGCUUGACGGAGCAACGCCGCGUGAGUGAUGAAGGGCUUCGGAUCGUAAAACUCUGUUAUUAGGGAAGAAAAAAUGUGUAAGUAACUAUGCACGUAUUGACGGUAACUAAUCAGAAAGCAACGGCUAACUACGUG